This 484-nucleotide ribosomal RNA is filed under the name uncultured bacterium. Its description in RNAcentral is "partial 16S ribosomal RNA". It matches the Rfam family "Bacterial small subunit ribosomal RNA", at positions 30 to 507 of the family's 1533-position model. The record is from RNAcentral.
AUUGAACGCUGGCGGCAGGCCUAACACAUGCAAGUCGAGCGGAUGAAGGGAGCUUGCUCCUGGAUUCAGCGGCGGACGGGUGAGUAAUGCCUAGGAAUCUGCCUGGUAGUGGGGGAUAACGUCCGGAAACGGGCGCUAAUACCGCAUACGUCCUGAGGGAGGAAGUGGGGGAUCUUCGGACCUCACGCUAUCAGAUGAGCCUAGGUCGGAUUAGCUAGUUGGUGGGGUAAAGGCCUACCAAGGCGACGAUCCGUAACUGGUCUGAGAGGAUGAUCAGUCACACUGGAACUGAGACACGGUCCAGACUCCUACGGGAGGCAGCAGUGGGGAAUAUUGGACAAUGGGCGAAAGCCUGAUCCAGCCAUGCCGCGUGUGUGAAGAAGGUCUUCGGAUUGUAAAGCACUUUAAGUUGGGAGGAAGGGCAGUAAGUUAAUACCUUGCUGUUUUGACGUUACCAACAGAAUAAGCACCGGCCAACUUCGUG